CCCCCCUUACAAAAACAAAACACAAUAAUACAUUGUUGUAGAGCUAUUUUGAUUAAUUGUUUUUCAAUCAGAUGAGAAUGUCAAAAGGUCACUGUCAUAACCCUUUUGUGACAGUAGGUGUCACCCAAGUGCCAGGACCAGUAAGGGAAACACCACUGAAGCGUACUGUCACGUAAGUGGCAGAAUAAAAUGACGCUUGCAGCGGUCACACAUAAAUCAUUGUGUCUGUUCCUUACUGCUCCACAGGAGGCUGUGCAGCAUCAGAACCAGAACCAGAACCUCGAGACUCCAUCUGCAUCUCAGUGAACAUCAGCUUCUAACAGAACUCUUAUUCCAUGUCAGGAAUUUAACUUUUGCAUUUAUACAGUCUGACUGAUGUCAUCAUCUUCUCCUCAGUUAUAAUACUUAUUUAUCAUUUGCUUUCACGACUAAUAAUACUGCUACCAGUACUAUUAAUCACUACAACUAAUACUACUACCAGUACUAAUAAUACUACUUUAAAUGUACCACUUCUCCCUCAGUAAGCCACUUUACACACACACUGUAAAUGCUGCUGUUCAUGUGUUCUUAUAUUGGUGUUAUUUUUAUUGUUCCUGUUUUUUUCUUUACUACUUUUAGUUCUUAGUUUCUUUCCCUGAUUACUGCACUCAGAGCAGAGACUCACCAGAGUCACAUUUCUUAUUUAUGUGUAAAAAGUGGGCCAAUAAAGCUGAUUCUGAUUGUGA
Long non-coding RNA from Amphiprion ocellaris (clown anemonefish), 725 nucleotides. RefSeq lists it as uncharacterized. NCBI's taxonomy places the organism in Eukaryota, Metazoa, Chordata, Actinopteri, Pomacentridae. The transcript has 2 exons. The record is from RefSeq and is a predicted model, not a curated record.